GAGCGUCCGCCCGGGAUCCCGGGCCGGGCCGGAGGGGGAAGAAAAAGAGAGUGGGGGCCGCUAGCUUCUCCCGCCGCGGCGGGGGAGAGGGAGACACCCUGCCUCCCCUGCCACCCGCCUCGCAGGGCCGACCGAAAGACCUUCGCCUCAGGGCGCAAUAACGGCCCCCGCCCGCGCGGGCACCGCCGGCCUCGCGCCCCUCCGCGGGCCCUGGGGGGGCAGCGGGUGAGGAGGGGGCGCGCGAGGUGUCCCCGGGCUGAGGGAAGGGGCGGGCAGGAUGGGUCCGGCCCGGCGGGGUCCCUCCGGUGAGAGGUGCGGCUGUGCUGAGGUCGGUUUUAAUGUCACAAACAUCCUAAAUCUUUAGCGUGGUAUCUAUCGGUUUCAAAAAGGAAGCUUUAAAUAAUACCAGCUUCGGGAAAGAAAAGAAAGAAUUCUACAAGCGGACCUGGAGCCUGGGUAUUUGACCAAGACUGUCGGAAGUGUUUUUCUACUGAUGGCAAUAGGAACUGGACUGGGCGUCGUAUCACCGGAUCACAGAAAAUGUCUUCCACAGGAAGCCCUCCUGAACAAAAAACCUUUUCUUUGGGAGUUUAAGAGAAACAAAUGCCAGACUGGACACGAGCAGUACAGACAUUUAACACACAACAGCCGGGAACGUGGUGACCAUUUGCUGGCACAUGAUCAUAGCUGAGAAAUUCUGAAAAACUAUCAAGACCCAGUUCAUUUUUUACAGUAUUUUCUAACAGAAGUAAAAAUAGCCUUUUCUUGAGGGAAAGAGCACACUUGGGUUUGGAAUCCAAAUGUCUGAAAUUUGCUUUAAUUUGUAUCUUACAAAUAAACAUUAAUUCACUGAUUAAGUAAUUGUUAUCACAUCACUUUAUACCUCAUAACAUAGUUUUUGCUUUGGUGACUUGUAUAAACUAAACUUUGGAGUAGAAAAAAAAUAGCUUGUCUUUUUGCAUUUUGGG
Long non-coding RNA from Calidris pugnax (ruff), 968 nucleotides. RefSeq lists it as uncharacterized. The transcript has 3 exons. Lineage: Eukaryota; Metazoa; Chordata; Aves; Charadriiformes; Scolopacidae. The record is from RefSeq and is a predicted model, not a curated record.